GACGAACGCUGGCGGCGUGCUUAACACAUGCAAGUCGAACGGUAAGGCCCUUCGGGGUACACGAGUGGCGAACGGGUGAGUAACACGUGGGUGAUCUGCCCUGCACUUCGGGAUAAGCCUGGGAAACUGGGUCUAAUACCGGAUAGGGCCACUGCCCGCAUGGGUGGGGGUGGAAAGCGUUUGCGGUGUGGGAUUGGCCCGCGGCCUAUCAGCUGGGUGGUGGGGUGAUGGCCUACCAAGGCGACGACGGGUAGCCGGCCUGCUAGGGUGACCGGCGACACUGGGAGUGAGCGGAGGCCCAGACGCCUACGGGAGGCAGCAGUGGGGAAUAUUGCACGGUGGGCGGAAGCCUGACGCAGCGGCGCCGCGUGAGGGAUGACGGGCUUCGCGUUGUAAACCUCGUUCAGCACCGACGGAGCGCGAGUGACGGUAGGUGCAGAAGAAGGACCGGCCAACUACGUGCCAGCCGCCGCGGUAA
This 478-nucleotide ribosomal RNA is filed under the name uncultured bacterium. Its description in RNAcentral is "partial 16S ribosomal RNA". It matches the Rfam family "Bacterial small subunit ribosomal RNA", at positions 28 to 523 of the family's 1533-position model. The record is from RNAcentral.